This 205-nucleotide long non-coding RNA is filed under the name Elaeis guineensis (African oil palm). Its description in RNAcentral is "long non-coding RNA (EGUI_LNC082145)". The record is from RNAcentral. Lineage: Eukaryota; Viridiplantae; Streptophyta; Magnoliopsida; Arecales; Arecaceae.
AGAGAUUAGGUUCCUAUUUGAACUAAAAAUCCUUCUCUAAUUAGAUGCAACUAAACCUUAACCAAAUGAGAUUUGAUUAAGAUUUGACUAAGGUAUAAGACAUCUCCGCACCCCAUAGUAGUGCCCUCUCUCUCUAGGAUUGGGAUGAGAUCAAUUUCAAAGGAGUUUGAAUUGAUCUAAAAUGCUUAUGUGAUAAGAUUAACCC